AGAGUUUGAUCCUGGCUCAGGAUGAACGCUGGCGGCGUGCUUAACACAUGCAAGUCGAACGGACACUAUGACAAAGCUUGCUUUGAUAUAGGGUUAGUGGCGAAAGGGUGAGUAAUGCGUAAGCAACCUGCCUUAUACAGGGGAAUAACAGCGGGAAACCGUUGCUAAUACCGCAUAAUAUCCGGGUAUGGCAUCAUACCUGGAUCAAAGGAGUAAUCCGGUAUAAGAUGGGCUUGCGUCCGAUUAGCUAGUUGGUGGGGUAACGGCCUACCAAGGCGACGAUCGGUAGCCGAACUGAGAGGUUGAUCGGCCACAUUGGGACUGAGACACGGCCCAGACUCCUACGGGGGGCAGCAGUGGGGAAUAUUGCACAAUGGACGARAGUCUGAUGCAGCAACGCCGCGUGAAGGAAGAAGGUCUUCGGAUUGUAAACUUCUUUGAUCAGGGAAGAAUAAUGACAGUACCUGAGGAACAAGCCACGGCUAACUACGUGCCAGCAGCCGCGGUAAUACGUAGGUGGCAAGCGUUAUCCGGAAUUACUGGGUGUAAAGGGCGCGUAGGCGGGAUCACAAGUCAGUUGUGAAAUACACAGGCUCAACCUGUGGGCUGCAACUGAAACUGUGAUUCUUGAGUGUCGGAGAGGAAAGUGGAAUUCCCCGUGUAGCGGUGAAAUGCGUAGAUAUGGGGAGGAACACCGGUGGCGAAGGCGACUUUCUGGACGAUAACUGACGCUGAGGCGCGAAAGCGUGGGUAGCAAACAGGAUUAAAUACCCUGGUAGUCCACGCUGUAAACGAUGGAUACUAGGUGUGGGAGGUAUCGACCCCUUCCGUGCCGAAGUUAACACAAUAAGUAAUCCACCUGGGGAGUACGGCCGCAAGGCUGAAACUCAAAGGAAUUGACGGGGGCCCGCACAAGCAGUGGAUUAUGUGGAUUAAUUCKAUGCAACGCGAAGAACCUUACCAGGUCUUGACAUCGAGUGACCGGCUAAGAGAUUAGCCUUUCCUUCGGGACACAAAGACAGGUGGUGCAUGGUUGUCGUCAGCUCGUGUCGUGAGAUGUUGGGUUAAGUCCCGCAACGAGCGCAGCCCCUGCCAUUAGUUGCUACGCAAGAGCACUCUAAUGGGACCGCUACCGACAAGGUGGAGGAAGGUGGGGACGACGUCAAAUCAUCAUGCCCCUUAUGACCUGGGCUUCACACGUAAUACAAUGGCCGUUAACAACGGGAAGCAAUACCGCGAGGUGGAGCAAAACCCCAAAAACGGUCUCAGUUCGGAUUGUAGGCUGCAACCCGCCUACAUGAAGUUGGAAUUGCUAGUAAUCGCGGAUCAGCAUGCCGCGGUGAAUACGUUCCCGGGCCUUGUACACACCGCCCGUCACACCAUGGGAGUUUGUAACACCCGAAGUCAGUAGCCUAACCGCAAGGAGGGCGCUGCCGAAGGUGGGAUAAGCGACUGGGGUGAAGUCGUAACAAGGUAGCCGUA
This 1482-nucleotide ribosomal RNA is filed under the name uncultured bacterium. RNAcentral describes it as "bacterial SSU rRNA". It matches the Rfam family "Bacterial small subunit ribosomal RNA". The record is from RNAcentral.